This 68-nucleotide transfer RNA is filed under the name Marmota monax (woodchuck). RNAcentral describes it as "tRNA.Val". It matches the Rfam family "tRNA", at positions 6 to 65 of the family's 71-position model. Rfam says of the family: Transfer RNA (tRNA) molecules are approximately 80 nucleotides in length. Their secondary structure includes four short double-helical elements and three loops (D, anti-codon, and T loops). The record is from RNAcentral. Lineage: Eukaryota; Metazoa; Chordata; Mammalia; Rodentia; Sciuridae.
GGAUGUACCUCAGUUGGUAGAGUGCCUGCCUCACAUGCACAAGGCCCUGGGUUUGAUCCCCAGCACCA